UAUGUAGAAGUAAAAAUUACAACUAAUUUCGACUUAGUUUGUGGAAUAAUUUUCCCGCAUUU
This 62-nucleotide transfer RNA is filed under the name Pealius mori. RNAcentral describes it as "tRNA-Arg". Lineage: Eukaryota; Metazoa; Arthropoda; Insecta; Hemiptera; Aleyrodidae. The record is from RNAcentral.